Molecule: long non-coding RNA, 587 nt
Organism: Arvicola amphibius (Eurasian water vole)
Lineage: Eukaryota; Metazoa; Chordata; Mammalia; Rodentia; Cricetidae
Exons: 3
Source: RefSeq, a predicted model, not a curated record
GCCGUGGUCUCCCACCCGCCGCUGCUCUAAGUCACACACAGUGGCCCGCUGCGCCCUCCAGGGAACUGCACCACAGUGUUUUGCCAUAACAUUUGGUGCAGGCGGAGCGCUUAAGGAUGCAUGGAACCCUGGGCUUGGAAACCGGGUGUUGUAUCUGCCUGAACUCCGACCUCUAUGCACACCAGUGACCUCAGAGAGACAGGUUGGCUCCUAGCAGCAGCACGCUACUUCCUCCAAAGAAGACAGAAGACAGACACAGAACAACAUCCAUCCGCAGUUCCCUUCACCUGCCAAACGCUGACCACUGGGAAAAACUGCCUUUCAUCUAAACUGAAGAUCUCCAGACAGUGGACAGAAUCACUGGAAUCGACAGCCUAGCUGCUCGGGUCAAGGGGACAAGUUGGACUUCAGCUGUUUCAGGGACUCUUAAGACUUGUCUCUGUGGUGAAGCCUCUGCCUGGUCAUCUGCACAGGAGAGCGAUUACUUCCCCUGGAGACGUUGCCAACAGGAGACAGGAAGGCAGCUCAGGAGCCUGGGCUUCUCCCCCUUUCUUACUGUGCUAAUACUUCCAAUCACACUGUUUUUU